Molecule: ribosomal RNA, 380 nt
Filed under: uncultured cyanobacterium
Lineage: Bacteria; Bacillati; Cyanobacteriota
Description: bacterial SSU rRNA
Rfam family: Bacterial small subunit ribosomal RNA
Source: RNAcentral
CGAAAGCCUGACGGAGCAAGACCGCGUGGGGGAGGAAGGCUCUAGGGUUGUAAACCCCUUUUCUUGGGGAAGAACAAAAUGACGGUACCAAAGGAAUCAGCCUCGGCUAACUCCGUGCCAGCAGCCGCGGUAAUACGGAGGAGGCAAGCGUUAUCCGGAAUGAUUGGGCGUAAAGCGUCCGCAGGUGGCAAUGUAAGUCUGCUGUCAAAACCCAGGGCUCAACUCUGGUCAGGCAGUGGAAACUACAUAGCUAGAGUUCGGUAGGGGCAAAGGGAAUUCCCGGUGUAGCGGUGAAAUGCGUAGAUAUUGGGAAGAACACCAGUGGCGAAGGCGCUCUACUGGGCCGCAACUGACACUCAGGGACGAAAGCUAGGGGAGCG